Molecule: long non-coding RNA, 449 nt
Filed under: Malus domestica (apple)
Lineage: Eukaryota; Viridiplantae; Streptophyta; Magnoliopsida; Rosales; Rosaceae
Description: long non-coding RNA (MDOM_LNC015525)
Source: RNAcentral
UGUUAAACCAUAUGUUGUGACUCAUUUUGAAACUAUUUCCCUUUUGUUUCAUCAACUUGUCCAUAUGCUUAGUUAUUUAGCUUGUUCUCAUAAAAGAGAAUGAUGGACAACUCCCAACAUAUAACCAUUUUAUGCUAGGUUGAUGAAACCAACAUUCAAAGACUAUUCUUUAGAAUGUCACACAACAUAGAAUUUUAACGUUUGAAGAACUUGAGUCCUUUUAACAAUUAAAAUUACAAACUUUUAAUAAUAGUCAAGUACUAUUAUUCUUUAGACAACUAUAAACCAAUCACAUUCAAGUUUAUAUCCAUUUUCACACCUCCCACUAUUUCUCAUGACUUUAAUGAGAAAUCAUUUCAUACAUUCAAAAUGUAUAAAAGUUGAGUAUAUUGGAAGAAGACAUUGUGUAGUAGCUUUAAAACAUUUCAAGCUUAUUUGUUUCAAUCUUC